This 497-nucleotide ribosomal RNA is filed under the name uncultured bacterium. Its description in RNAcentral is "partial 16S ribosomal RNA". It matches the Rfam family "Bacterial small subunit ribosomal RNA", at positions 28 to 507 of the family's 1533-position model. The record is from RNAcentral.
GAUGAACGCUGGCGGCGUGCCUAAUACAUGCAAGUCGAACGCACGGACGAGGAGCUUGCUUCGCUGAUGUGAGCGGCGGACGGGUGAGUAACACGUGUAUAACCUACCUAUAAUACUGGUAUGACUUCGGGAAACCGGAUCUAAUAGCGUAUAAUCUUUUGAACGGCAUGGUGCAAAAGUGAAAGGCGGUCUUGCUGUCACUUAUAGAUGGAUCCUCGCUGCAUUAGCUAGUUGGUAAGGUAACGGCUUACCAAGGCACCAAUGCAUAGCCGACCUGAGAGGGUGAGCGGCGACCCGGGAACUGAGAGACGGUCCAGCCUCCUACGGGAGGCCGCGGUGGGGAAGUUUGGGAAAUGGGCGAAAGCCUGACGGAGCAAUGCCGCGUGAGUGAUGAAGGUAUUCGGAUCGUAGAACUGUGUUCUUAGGGCGGCCAAUAUGUGUAAGUAACUGUGGACGUCUUGACGGUACCUAAUAAGAAAGCGACGGCUAACUACGUG